UACGUAGGGUGCGAGCGUUAAUCGGAAUUACUGGGCGUAAAGCGUGCGCAGGCGGUUUUGUAAGCCAGAUGUGAAAUCCCCGGGCUUAACCUGGGAAUGGCAUUUGGGACUGCAAGGCUGGAGUGCGGCAGAGGAGACUGGAAUUCCUGGUGUAGUAGUGAAAUGCGUAGAUAUCAGGAGGAACACCGAUGGCGAAGGCAGGUCUCUGGGCUGACACUGACGCUCAUGCACGAAAGCGUGGGGAGCAAACAGG
Molecule: ribosomal RNA, 253 nt
Filed under: uncultured bacterium
Lineage: Bacteria
Description: partial 16S ribosomal RNA
Rfam family: Bacterial small subunit ribosomal RNA
Source: RNAcentral